AGCCCGCGAGAGAAAAUGGCGGCGGCGGCGGGGAAUCGCGCCUCGUCGUCGGGAUUCCCGGGCGCCGGGGCGGCGAGCCCCGAGGCGGGCGGCGGCGGAGGGGCUCUCAAGGCGAGCAGCGCGCCCGCGGCAGCCGCGGGACUGCUGCGGGAGGCGGGCAGCGGGGGCCGCGAGCGGGCUGACUGGCGGCGGCGGCAGCUGCGCAAAGUGCGGAGUGUGGAGCUGGACCAGCUACCGGAGCCGCCGCUCUUCCUCGCCGCCUCGCCGUCGUCCUCUUCCACUUCCCCGUCGCCGGAGCCCUCGGACCCGGCGGCGGGCGGGAGUGGUUUCCAGCCUGUGGCGGUGCCGCAGCCUCACGGAGUCGCGAACCGUGGCAGCGCCCACCCUCUGGAGCCCGCGGCCGCCCAGGACAGCGGCGCCCCGAGCCCCGCCGGGGCCGAGCCCGGGGAGAAGCGGACGCCCGCCGCCGAGCCGCCUCCUGCAGCGGCCCCCGCCGGUCGUGAGAUGGAGAGUAAAGAAACUCUCAAGGGCUUGCACAAGAUGGACGAUCGCCCAGAAGAACGAAUGAUCAGGGAGAAACUAAAGGCAACCUGUAUGCCAGCCUGGAAGCAUGAGUGGCUGGAAAGGAGAAACAGGAGAGGCCCUGUGGUGGUAAAACCAAUCCCUAUUAAAGGAGAUGGUUCUGAAAUUCACAACUUGGCAACUGAGUCACAAGGAGAGGGCCAGGCAAGCACCACGUCACCCGCUCCCAAAGGCCGACGUAGUCCUUCUCCUGGCAGCUCCCCAUCAGGUCGCUCAGUGAAGUCGGAAUCUCCAGGAGUUCGGAGAAAAAGAGUUUCCCCAGUGCCUUUUCAGAGUGGGCGAAUCACACCACCUCGAAGAGCCCCUUCACCAGAUGGCUUCUCACCAUAUAGCCCUGAGGAGACAAACCGCCGUGUAAACAAAGUUAUGCGGGCCAGGCUGUACUUACUGCAACAAAUAGGACCUAACUCUUUCCUGAUUGGAGGAGACAGCCCAGACAACAAAUACCGGGUGUUUAUCGGGCCUCAGAACUGCAGCUGUGGCCGUGGAACUUUUUGUAUUCAUCUGUUGUUUGUUAUGCUCCGGGUGUUUCAACUAGAACCUUCAGACCCAAUGUUAUGGAGAAAAACCUUAAAGAAUUUUGAGGUUGAAAGUUUGUUCCAGAAAUAUCACAGUAGGCGUAGCUCAAGGAUCAAAGCUCCAUCUCGUAACACCAUCCAGAAGUUUGUUUCACGCAUGUCAAAUUCCCAUACAUUGUCAUCAUCUAGUACUUCUACAUCUAGUUCAGAAAACAGUAUAAAAGAUGAGGAGGAACAGAUGUGUCCUAUUUGCUUGUUGGGCAUGCUUGAUGAAGAGAGUCUUACCGUGUGUGAAGAUGGCUGCAGGAACAAGCUGCAUCAUCACUGCAUGUCAAUCUGGGCAGAAGAAUGUAGAAGAAAUAGAGAACCUUUAAUAUGUCCCCUUUGUAGGUCUAAGUGGAGAUCUCAUGAUUUCUACAGCCACGAGCUGUCAAGCCCUGUGGAUUCCCCUUCUUCCCUGCGAGCUGCACAGCAGCAAACCAUACAUCAGCAACCUUUGGCUGGAUCCCAACGGAGGAGUCAGGAGAGCAAUUUUAACCUUAUGCAUUAUGGAACUCAGCAGAUUCCCCCUGCUUACAAAGAUUUAGCUGAGCCAUGGAUUCAGGUAUUUGGAAUGGAACUCGUUGGCUGCUUAUUUUCUAGAAACUGGAAUGUAAGAGAGAUGGCUCUCAGGCGUCUUUCCCACGAUGUUAGUGGGGCUCUGCUAUUGGCAAAUGGGGAGAGCACUGGAAAUUCUGGGAGCAAUGGUAGAAGCAGCCCAAGUGCUGGAGCCAGUGGGUCUUCCCAGACCAGUAUCUCAGGAGACGUGGUAGAGGCAUGCUGCAACGUUUUGUCAAUGGUCUGUGCUGACCCUGUCUACAAAGUGUACGUUGCUGCUUUAAAAACGUUGAGAGCCAUGCUAGUAUAUACUCCUUGCCAUAGUUUGGCAGAAAGAAUCAAACUGCAGAGACUUCUCCGGCCAGUUGUAGACACCAUCCUAGUCAAGUGUGCAGAUGCCAAUAGUCGUACAAGUCAGCUGUCUAUAUCGACACUGUUGGAAUUAUGCAAAGGCCAAGCAGGAGAGUUGGCAGUUGGCAGAGAAAUACUUAAAGCUGGAUCCAUUGGUAUUGGUGGUGUUGAUUAUGUCUUAAGUUGUAUUCUUGGAAACCAAACUGAAUCAAACAACUGGCAAGAACUUCUGGGCCGCCUUUGUCUUAUAGACAGACUGCUCUUGGAAUUUCCUGCUGAAUUUUACCCUCAUAUUGUCAGUACUGAUGUUUCACAAGCUGAGCCUGUUGAUGUCAGGUAUAAAAAGCUGCUGUCCCUCUUAACCUUUGCUUUGCAGUCCAUUGAUAAUUCCCACUCAAUGGUUGGUAAACUCUCCCGAAGGAUAUAUCUGAGUUCCGCAAGAAUGGUUACUGCAGUCCCCCACGUAUUUUCAAAACUAUUAGAAAUGCUGAAUGUUUCCAGUUCCACUCAUUUUACCAGGAUGCGUCGUCGUUUGAUGGCUAUUGCAGAUGAGGUGGAAAUUGCUGAGGCCAUCCAGUUGGGCGUAGGAGACACUUUGGAGGGUCGACAUGACAGCUUUUUACAGGCGGCUGUCCCAACCAGUUACCCAGAAACCACAGAGAACAGCUCCCUUGAGCGCACAGACCAUUUAGAGAAAACUGGAAAAGGACUAUGUGCUACAAAACUGAGUGCCACUUCAGAGGACAUUACUGACAGACUGGGCAGCAUUUCACUAGGACUUCCCAGUUCAACAACAAUGGAGCAACCAAAGCCAAUGGUUCAAACAAAAGGCAGACCCCACAGUCAGUGUUUGAACACCUCUCCUUUAUCUCAUCAUUCCCCAUUAAUGUUUCCACCCUUGUCAGCUCCUUCUUCAUCUGCCCCCUCUGCACCAACUGGCACUGGAACGGAUGUCUCUAAGCACAGACCUCAGGGAUUCGUUCCCUGCAAAAUACCUUCUGCAUCUCCUCAAACACAGCGCAAAUUUUCUCUACAGUUCCAGAGAAACUGUUCGGAAAACAGAGACUCAGAUAAAUCUUCCCCCAUCUUUACUCAGUCCAGACCCCUGCCCUCUAGUAAUAUACACAGGCCAAAGCCAUCUCGACCUUCCCCAGGUAAUACAAGUAAACAGGGAGAGGCCUCAAAGAAUAGUAUGACACUUGAUUUGAACAGUAGUGCCAAAUGUGAUGACAGCUUUGGCAGCAGCAAUAGCAGUAAUGCUGUCAUACCCAGUGAUGAGACAGUGUUCACCCCAGUAGAAGAGAAAUGCAGAUUAGAUGUCAAUACAGAGCUCAACUCCAGUAUUGAGGACCUUCUUGAAGCAUCUAUGCCUUCAGGUGAUACAACAGUAACUUUUAAGUCAGAAGUUGCUGUGCUCUCCCCUGAAAAGGAUGAAAAUGAUGAUACCUACAAAGAUGACGUGAAUCAUAAUCAGAAAUGCAAAGAAAAGAUGGAAGCUGAAGAAGAAGAAGCUUUAGCAAUUGCCAUGGCAAUGUCAGCGUCUCAGGAUGCCCUCCCCAUAGUUCCUCAACUACAAGUUGAAAAUGGAGAAGAUAUCAUCAUUAUUCAACAGGAUACACCAGAAACUCUACCAGGACAUACCAAAGCAAAACAACCUUACAGAGAAGACACUGAAUGGCUGAAAGGUCAGCAGAUAGGCCUUGGAGCAUUUUCUUCCUGUUACCAGGCUCAAGAUGUGGGAACUGGAACAUUAAUGGCUGUUAAACAGGUGACCUAUGUCAGAAAUACAUCUUCUGAGCAAGAGGAAGUAGUGGAAGCAUUAAGAGAAGAGAUCAGAAUGAUGAGCCAUUUGAAUCAUCCCAACAUCAUUAGAAUGUUGGGAGCCACGUGUGAGAAAAGCAAUUAUAAUCUCUUCAUCGAAUGGAUGGCAGGGGGAUCUGUGGCUCAUUUGCUCAGUAAAUACGGAGCCUUCAAGGAAUCAGUAGUUAUUAACUAUACUGAACAGUUACUUCGUGGCCUUUCAUAUCUCCAUGAAAACCAGAUCAUUCAUAGAGAUGUCAAAGGUGCCAAUUUGCUAAUUGACAGCACAGGUCAGAGACUGAGAAUUGCAGAUUUCGGAGCUGCAGCCAGGUUGGCAUCAAAAGGAACUGGUGCAGGAGAGUUUCAGGGACAGUUAUUGGGGACAAUUGCAUUUAUGGCACCUGAGGUACUAAGAGGUCAGCAGUAUGGUAGGAGCUGUGACGUAUGGAGUGUUGGCUGUGCCAUUAUAGAAAUGGCUUGUGCUAAACCACCUUGGAAUGCAGAAAAACACUCCAAUCAUCUUGCUUUGAUAUUUAAGAUUGCAAGUGCAACUACUGCUCCAUCGAUCCCUUCACACUUGUCUCCUGGUUUACGAGAUGUGGCUCUUCGGUGUUUAGAACUUCAACCUCAGGACAGACCUCCGUCAAGAGAGCUACUGAAGCAUCCAGUCUUCCGUACGACUUGGUAGCCAAUUAUAGACUCUGAUGGAGACAGGAUGCUCAACAAGGCAAAACUUUUGUGGGGAACCACGCUGAUAAUCUGCUGGCCUUCAUGCCACUGAACAGCUAUGAACAGGACCAGUGGGGAACCCUUACCUAAGUUAAGUAUAAAUUAAGUGAAAAUCAACUAUUCUCUGUGAUGCAGCUCAAAACCAAGAUCAAGAUGACCUUGAAAUUUGAUUUUUUUAAUGUAUUGGUUUCUUUUAUAGGAAACAUCACACCUUUGAAGUCUUACUUUGUAUGUAACAAUCCAUCAUUCAUCAUCCAUCACCACUAAUAAUAUUAAACUGCUAUUUUCCUUCUACCAUGCAUUAUCUCUUUACAGUAGGCGUGGCUGAUAAUUAAAGAAAUUAACUAAUAACUACCAAUGAGUAAUAGUGUUUUUACAAAAUAAAUUUUCUUGGAACUCUGAAAACAUGUUCAGAAAGAAAAGUGAAAUUGAAUUUGACUUACACCCUAAUUCUUGGAUUUUGCUCAAUUAUCUAAUGGUUUUCAUCAGAGUUGAAUUCACAUGCAUGGAAUCCUGAAGGAAAAUGGCAGCUCUUUUAUCCUUUUUUUGCGACUCUUUAAAUAUUUAAUAAAACUUUUUGAGAUGAGAAGUUUUAACUCUUCAGAAGCCAGUUGAAUUAUUGCAGAGUGAAACAAUUGGUUAUUCUCAAAGACUCAGGAUAAACUAAAUAAGCUAUACAGAGUACAUUUUAAAUGUACAUCACAAAUUGGAAGUAAAAUAAGUUACAAGAUAAGUUUACAGAGAUAUAUUGCAUAUAAUUUUUAAAAGGCAGGUGUUUUUUUUU
Molecule: RNA transcript, 5361 nt
Organism: Lontra canadensis (Northern American river otter)
Lineage: Eukaryota; Metazoa; Chordata; Mammalia; Carnivora; Mustelidae
Gene: MAP3K1
Gene name: mitogen-activated protein kinase kinase kinase 1
Exons: 21
Source: RefSeq, a predicted model, not a curated record